GAUGAACGCUGGCGGCGUGCCUAAUACAUGCAAGUCGAGCGAACAGACGAGGAGCUUGCUCCUCUGACGUUAGCGGCGGACGGGUGAGUAACACGUGGAUAACCUCCCUAUAAGACUGGGAUAACUUCGGGAAACCGGAGCUAAUACCGGAUAAUAUAUUGAACCGCAUGGUUCAAUAGUGAAAGACGGUUUUGCUGUCACUUCUAGAUGGAUCCGCGCCGCAUUAGCUAGUUGGUAAGGUAACGGCUUACCAAGGCGACGAUGCGUAGCCGACCUGAGAGGGUGAUCGGCCACACUGGAACUGAGACACGGUCCAGACUCCUACGGGAGGCAGCAGUAGCGAAUCUUCCGCAAUGGGCGAAAGCCUGACGGAGCAGCGCCGCGUGAGUGAUGAAGGUCCUCGGAUCGUAAAACUCUGUUAUUAGGGAAGAACAAAUGUGUAAGUAACUAUGCACGUCUUGACGGUACCGAAUCAGAAAGCCACGGCUAACUACGUG
RNAcentral lists this ribosomal RNA (497 nucleotides) under uncultured bacterium. RNAcentral describes it as "partial 16S ribosomal RNA". It matches the Rfam family "Bacterial small subunit ribosomal RNA", at positions 28 to 507 of the family's 1533-position model. The record is from RNAcentral.